Molecule: long non-coding RNA, 1075 nt
Organism: Camellia sinensis
Lineage: Eukaryota; Viridiplantae; Streptophyta; Magnoliopsida; Ericales; Theaceae
Source: RefSeq, a predicted model, not a curated record
UGCAUUUCUCUCACAAAAUUGCAACGGAGGCAAAUGUUCCCUUACAUCUUUUUAUCCUCCUCUCUCUCUCUCUCUCUCAAAAAAUCUUGAACGAGACUGUGAGCAGUGGUGACUGUGAGGAAGAAGCACAAGGAAGGUUUGAAGGAGGCACUUGUAAAACGUUUGGAUGCUCUCACCGACAAGAUCGGAGGGAAUGUUGUGUUGCAGCUUGUUAGCACCGAUAUGGAUCCAAAAACGACUUUGAUGAUGAUGAGCAGUACCGUGAGAACCCCUCCUCCUCCUCCUCCUUAAGCCGUCGGGCCAGUUUGGUUGAGAGGAAAUCGCUUCUUCCUGCUGUGGCGGCAUCCACCCGGAUGUCGUCUGCGCUGAUUCGGCGGCUGGGGAUUGGGAGGUCACGGCUCAGGUCCAGGGAUUUCAAGAACAUGUCCAUUUUCGCCACAAUUGACAAGACGUGGCGUAAAACAGUUGACAGGGCUUCAAAGUUCUUCUUGGAGAUGCAUUACAACCAGCACAAGCGCUUGACAAAUGAUAUUGCUUAGACCAAGCUAUUUCACACUGUGGAAAUUUUUAUAUGACCUGGGGUGUUGGGAAGGAAGGUUUGGCCCUUGUGCACUACUAGCGUCUAACUUAUAUUUACUUAUUCUUGUAUAUGUAUUUUAUCACCACAGCAAAAUAAUUGUUGUAUUUUGUGUCAUACAAAUUAAGUUUUUUACCCUCAAAGUUGUCUUUUAUGGAGCUGUGUGAUUUAAAUUGGCCAUCCAAUUUUUCCAUUAUGAUUUAUAAAAUCCAGUAAACAUUUUACUGUGGAAAUUUUUAUCUGACCUGGCGUGUGGUAGGGGGAGUCUCUUUCCAGUAAACAUUGUGUGAUUUAAAGUGUCUCUUUCCAACUUAGUUUUCAAAGCGGGAGUCCCGUGCUAGUGCCGUAAGUUUUCACAACUCGCGUUGGUCACUCCCAAAGUGUUUGAGGUGUUCCUGGCCCUUCUUGCCACUGUUACAUAAUUUUGGCCCCCCGAUGGCCUACUUCCAAGCUUAAGUGUUAGAAAAUUGUAUUUUCCGACCUAGUUUUUAAACCGGG